CUGACCUCUGGUUGAUCUGACUUGUCAUCCUGUUUUUCUGCAUUGUCAUCGGACUCCGAAUCCUUUGAGCUUGCGGGAAAGGUGUUGUGCACAACUAAUCCAAACAGGUUGCAGCUAAAUCGAAGGCCGCUCUAAAUGUAAAGGUGGCCAAGAUAUGUGGUCGACCGACCUUACCAAGAAAGUCGGCUCGUCAACCGAACCAGAAAAAACAAGGGGAAGUGGAAAAACUUAUUGAUCAUAUAGCCACCAAGGAGGGCGGAAUGUUCAAAAUCAGACGGAAAGUAUGGACGAAAUGAUGGUUUCUGGGAUUCAAGCCAGAAUCUGACUUGCGACGCUUAAUAAAAAAGUAACAUAGCAGAAGGUUGAUGUCAAGGAGCUGCACGAAUCGAGGAAGACCGCAGAGACCAGGAACGUCAGUGGAACUUGUAGUGGAUUCAGGUAUUAAUGCUGGUUCUCCGAAGUGAACGCUAGUGCCAAAGCGCAAAGAUGAGCACGACUCGGACUCAAAAAUGGCAAGAAUGCAGCUGAAAUAAAUUCGGAGUCCGAUGACGAUGCAGAAAUAGAGGAUGACAAGUCAGCACAACCCCAGGAUGAAUACAAUUCGUCCUUGAGCUGCGAACAAAACUUUCAGGAUGCAAAGACCACGCUACUGUAUCCAGUGCGAUCUUCUCCAGAACUUCGGACCCAAGACCAACUUUAAAAGGCGCAAACAACGGCAUAUGUGCAACGGCGCUUCGAAGACGUUCCCCUGCUUCGUACAAAUGACCAACUUGCUACUUUUGAAGGAAAGGUGCUACGCAUACCUAUGCCAAACCUCUCCCUGAUAGUUUUGUAUGGACCAGCGUGAGUCAAGCAUUAGAUGUGGAGGGCAGGUCAUCGCUCUUUUCUACCGUUUGACGAGCCCUCACCCCAGUGUCCACAUUGGAUCGUCCUCAUCUGAAUCCUCUUCAACGAUAUUUUUCCCAUUAUUGGUGAUCAAUGUGUCGGUGUUCCUGAUCUCGGCGUUCUUAGUCAAUUCGCGCAGGUUCUUGACAUGAACGUUGUGCUGGGUUACUUUUUGAUUAGUGCAUUGCAAGCCAGAUUCUUGCUUGGUUCUCAGGAAUGAUCCUUUGAUCCAUAGUUUUCCAUCUGAUCUUGAUCAUUUCGCCCUCCUUGGUGCCUACAUGAUCAAUAAUCUUUUUCACCUCCUCACCUUCUCUGGGUCGGUUGAAGCGUUGGCUUCUUGGUGCCGGCGGUCGGUCGACCACGUCUCUUGGCCAUCUACACACAAUUGGAGUUUUUGGAAAAGCUACUCUUAAACUUUCUAACCGAGCUGAAUCCCGAUAUUUCCAAUAUGGAACAAGGGGUUAAUAUAGGGUGGAGCUCAGCCCGGGCGAUGCGGUGAAUCCUCUUCUCUUAUCUAACUUUCUAUCUG
Molecule: long non-coding RNA, 1414 nt
Organism: Drosophila sechellia
Lineage: Eukaryota; Metazoa; Arthropoda; Insecta; Diptera; Drosophilidae
Exons: 5
Source: RefSeq, a predicted model, not a curated record